UUGGUGGACUCUCUUCCAAUUUGUCUAACCCUGGCGGCAAAAAAAAACCCCUCAAGGGCAUCAGACAGCUGAUGGAUUUAAAAAGAACCUGGGAAAUCAUGAGUCAGAGGAGAAGAUAACCUAGGAGAUUUUGAAAGAUGGAACCUUUGUCCUUCCAGUAAAAGCCCUUAACACACAAGGAAAAGAAAAAAAGAGAGAGAAACAGGAAGAGCAAGAGAAAAAGAAUGAGAAAAAUUAUUUCCAAACUUCAAUCCAACAAAAUCAACAAGGGAAUCCUGAUGGCUCAGUACUCUUUUGUAUAGAUCUUCAAACCAAGGACAACGUGAAAGCUUGUAAAAGUCAUUUUUAUAAAACCAAAUAAACUCAAGCCUGUCUAAA
This is a long non-coding RNA of Pogoniulus pusillus (Red-fronted tinkerbird), 378 nucleotides long. RefSeq lists it as uncharacterized. The record is from RefSeq and is a predicted model, not a curated record. NCBI's taxonomy places the organism in Eukaryota, Metazoa, Chordata, Aves, Piciformes, Lybiidae. The transcript is spliced from 2 exons.